This 546-nucleotide ribosomal RNA is filed under the name uncultured bacterium. Its description in RNAcentral is "bacterial SSU rRNA". It matches the Rfam family "Bacterial small subunit ribosomal RNA", at positions 102 to 683 of the family's 1533-position model. The record is from RNAcentral.
ACGGGUGCGUAACGCGUGGGAAUCUGCCCUUUGGUUCGGAAUAACAGUUGGAAACGACUGCUAAUACCGGAUGAUGACGAAAGUCCAAAGAUUUAUCGCCAGAGGAUGAGCCCGCGUAGGAUUAGCUAGUUGGUGUGGUAAAGGCGCACCAAGGCGACGAUCCUUAGCUGGUCUGAGAGGAUGAUCAGCCACACUGGGACUGAGACACGGCCCAGACUCCUACGGGAGGCAGCAGUGGGGAAUAUUGGACUAUGGGCGAAAGCCUGAUCCAGCAAUGCCGCGUGAGUGAUGAAGGCCUUAGGGUUGUAAAGCUCUUUUACCCGGGAUGAUAAUGACAGUACCGGGAGAAUAAGCUCCGGCUAACUCCGUGCCAGCAGCCGCGGUAAUACGGAGGGAGCUAGCGUUGUUCGGAAUUACUGGGCGUAAAGCGCACGUAGGCGGCUUUGUAAGUUAGAGGUGAAAGCCUGGAGCUCAACUCCAGAACUGCCUUUAAGACUGCAUCGCUUGAAUCCAGGAGAGGUGAGUGGAAUUCCGAGUGUAGAGGUG